Molecule: long non-coding RNA, 621 nt
Filed under: Homo sapiens (human)
Lineage: Eukaryota; Metazoa; Chordata; Mammalia; Primates; Hominidae
Description: non-protein coding lnc-ZNF791-6:1
Source: RNAcentral
AAUGAACAUCUCUCUUCCUGUAGUUAUUCUAAUUAUCCUGUUUCCAAAUAUUUCCAUCACCUAGCCAUCUGAUUAACAACUGGCUAAUUUCUGCCUAAUUCAACUUAUACUAAAAUAAAUUAUGAUAAUACAUAAUAUCAACGAACCUGCUCCCUUAUACUAAUUUCACUGAUCUUCUUGUUUCAACAAAUUUACUAGGGCUCUUACCUCACUCAUUCACACCAACUACUCAACUGUCAAUAAACUUAGGUAUGGCUAUUCCACUAUGAGCAGGAGCAGUAAUUACUGGCUUGCACCACAAAACAAAAGCAUCCCUAGCCCAUUUUCUACCACAGAAAACACCUAUUUUACUUAUUGCCGUACUACUAAUUAUAGAAACCACCAGCCUCUUCAUUCAACCAAUAGCCUUAGCUGUGUGACUAACAGCCAGUAUUACAGCUGGCCCUCUGCUUGUUCAUUUAAUUGGAGGCGCCACACAGUAUUAACAUCAAUCAACCUACCCACAGCCUCAGUCAGAUUUACAUCUUGAUUAUAUUAACCAUUUUUGAAUUCGUCAUAGCUUUAAUCCAAGCAUAUGUUUUUACACUACUAGUGAGCCUCUAUCUACAAGACAAUACUUAA